GUGGCUGUGUGUUCGUGUAGGUGUGUGUUUCUGCCUCAAGAUAUGUGUGUUGGGUGUUGUUGUUUGGCGGGGAACCGAGAGAAACCACCGCCACCCAACUAUGAGGUGGUGGUUGUUAUCACAAAUUCUGCCGCCUGUCGCCGUCCCUUCUACUAUCCGAUGUCGCUGCCUUAUCUUGUCACCACCAGCCACCAUGGGAGGUGGCUGUGUGUUCGUGUAGGUGUGUGUUUCUGCCUCAAGAUAUGUGUGUUGGGUGUUGUUGUUUGGCGGGGAACCGAGAGAAACCCCCGCCACCACUGUGAGGUGGUGGCUGUCGUCCAAAAACUUUUGUUGUCGCCGCUAUGGGCCACCAGGAGGGUGGCUAGGGUGUAUCUCGCAAAAUCAGAAGCAUGAUUGCGUGUGUGGGGUUCAUUUUUCUGAUGCGUUUUCGACGGAGGAGUCGCAAACCAUCAUGUGCGGCUGCCAAACGCUAUGACCGUCGUCAUGUUGCUAAUGUACGCCACGUUGCUAUUGUUGCCUG
Molecule: long non-coding RNA, 520 nt
Filed under: Lactuca sativa (garden lettuce)
Lineage: Eukaryota; Viridiplantae; Streptophyta; Magnoliopsida; Asterales; Asteraceae
Description: long non-coding RNA (LSAT_LNC004124)
Source: RNAcentral